Molecule: long non-coding RNA, 300 nt
Filed under: Nicotiana benthamiana
Lineage: Eukaryota; Viridiplantae; Streptophyta; Magnoliopsida; Solanales; Solanaceae
Description: long non-coding RNA (NBEN_LNC031221)
Source: RNAcentral
UCAGAUAGCAAGAUCCCAUAUAUAUUACUAAUGGAAAGUAAGGGCUUCAUCAUAAUGAUGUCUCUUCUUGCUUGGACAUAAGUGUCAUUCAGUCCCAUAAGGAAUCGGUAGACCUUUUGUUCUUCUCCUCAACAGCCUUACCUCCACAAGUACACAUCCGAACUCUCCCAAUAGGCAAAGAUGAAAUCUCAUCCCAUAAUUGCUUAAUUUUGUUGAAAUAUGAUGAUAUAUCCAUAGACCCUUGGGAAAUAUGAGCCAGUUCCUUCUUUGAUUCAAAGAUCCUAGCACCAUCAGCUUCUC